GACCCAUUUUAGCUUUUAUUCGAACUCAGAUCACAGCACGGAGAGGGCGAGGAGGCACCGAACGCAGCGCCGUCACCUCACCGAUCCACCUCCCCAAAAACGAUGUCCUGAGUGCCGAUGAUGGCCACCACGUCUGCCAGCAUAUGGCCCUGGGACAUGCGAUCCAGGCCGGCCAGGUGAGCGAAGCCGGGCGCUUUGAUCUUGCAGCGGUACGGACGGCUGCUGCCAUCUGAGACGAGGUAGACUCCAAAUUCACCCUUGGGGGCCUCGAUGGCCGUGUAGGUGGCUCCGGGGGGCACCUGGUAGCCCUCGGUGUAGAGCUUGAAGUGAUGAAUGAGGGACUCCAUGGAGGUCUUCAUCUCUGCCCGCUUGGGAGGAGAGAUUUUGGCAUCAUCCACUUUGAUUUCUCCCUCGGGCAUCUUAUUGAGGCACUGCAGGAUGAUGCGCAGGGACUGACGCAUCUCCUCCACGCGGCACAGGUAGCGGUCGUAGCAGUCACCCCGAGAGCCGAUGGGGACAUCAAAUUCCACCUGGUCAUAGACGUCGUAGGGCUGCGUCUUACGUAGGUCCCAGUGGAUCCCUGAGCCCCGCAGCAUCACCCCGCUGAACCCAUAGUUGAGCGCCUCCUCUGCUGAGAUGACCCCGAUGUCGAUGGUGCGGUUCUUCCAGAUGCGGUUGUUGGUCAGCAUCUCUUCCACCUCAUCCACCCGGAUGGAAAAGUUCUUCACAAACUCAUAGAUGUCAUCCAUCAGCCCCAGGGGCAGAUCCUGGUGCACACCGCCGGGGCGGAUGUAGGCUGCGUGCAUCCGCGCCCCCGAGACGCGCUCAUAGAACUCAAACAUCUUCUCCCUCUCCUCGAACAUCCAGAAGAAGGGCGUCAUGGCCCCGAUGUCCAACGCGUGCGUGGUGACGGCCAUGAUGUGGUUGAGCAGCCGGGUUAUCUCUGCAAAGAGCACUCGGAUCCACUGAGCCCGGAGAGGAGGACGGAUGUUGAGCAGCUUCUCCACAGCCAGGGCAUAGGCCUGCUCGUUGCACAUCAUGGACACGUAGUCCAGGCGGUCAAAAUAGGGCAGAGCCUGCAGGUACGUUUUGUACUCAAUGAGCUUCUCGGUGCCGCGGUGCAGCAGCCCGAUGUGGGGGUCGCACCUCCUCACCGUCUCCCCGCUCAGCUCCAUCACCAACCUCAGAACCCCGUGGGCAGCCGGGUGCUGCGGCCCGAAAUUGAUGGUCAGGGUGGAGAUCUUCUUGUGAGCGACGGGGUCCUUGUCGUUCCAUGGUGGCGGCACCCACUUCUCCGUCUCCUUGCUGGGGUACAUCACAGCGCCGGCGUAUUGCUGAGCCCACUCCACAUCGGGCUGCCAUUGGUGGCCCCCCCGGGCCGGGCCCGGCCCGAUCCGCGCCGCCGCCGCCCGCAGCCCCACAGACGCCCGCAGUCGCCCCAAUGCCCGCAGCGCCGCCAUCUUGCCCUUGGCACUG
Molecule: long non-coding RNA, 1476 nt
Filed under: Gallus gallus (chicken)
Lineage: Eukaryota; Metazoa; Chordata; Aves; Galliformes; Phasianidae
Source: RNAcentral